GAUGAAGAACGUAGCAAAAUGCGAUAAGUAAUGUGAAUUGCAGAAUUCAGUGAAUCAUCGAAUCUUUGAACGCACAUUGCGCCCGCCAGUAUUCUGGCGGGCAUGCCUGUUCGAGCGUCAUUUCAACCCUCAAGCCCUCGGGUUUGGUGUUGGGGAUCGGCGAGCCUUUCUGGCAAGCCGGCCCCGAAAUCUAGUGGCGGUCUCGCUGCAGCCUCCAUUGCGUAGUAGUAAAACCCUCGCAACUGGAACGCGGCGCGGCCAAGCCGUUAAACCCCCAACUUCUGAAUGUUGACCUCGGAUCAGGUAGGAAUACCCGCUGAACUUAAGCAUAUCAAAGCGGAGGA
This 344-nucleotide unclassified non-coding RNA is filed under the name soil metagenome. Its description in RNAcentral is "partial contains 5.8S ribosomal RNA, internal transcribed spacer 2, and large subunit ribosomal RNA". The stretch from base 1 to 120 matches the Rfam family "5.8S ribosomal RNA", at positions 35 to 154 of the family's 154-position model. The record is from RNAcentral.